CCCCGAUUGACGAGUCUCAAACAGGACGAAACGCUCGUCUUAGAU
Schistosoma haematobium is the source of this 45-nucleotide non-coding RNA. NCBI's taxonomy places the organism in Eukaryota, Metazoa, Platyhelminthes, Trematoda, Strigeidida, Schistosomatidae. The record is from Rfam.